RNAcentral lists this long non-coding RNA (4588 nucleotides) under Brassica napus (rape). RNAcentral describes it as "long non-coding RNA (BNAP_LNC012665)". Lineage: Eukaryota; Viridiplantae; Streptophyta; Magnoliopsida; Brassicales; Brassicaceae. The record is from RNAcentral.
GUAGGUUUCGUAAGCUGCAUAGUUCCCAUAAACUGGCGGGUUUUGGCUUCCGAUCUGAUGUUUGUGAUCGUUGUUGAUUUUGUAGCUUAUGAUGUCGUUAGGUGGAUCAUAUCUGUUUACUAGUUUGUUUUCACCUAUGUUUGUAGCUUCUUUCGACUUUUUAUGCAAUUUGCUGUUUUGAGUUGUUCUAAAUAGAUUUAGUAACACUUUCUCAUUGUUUUGUUUCAUUACACCGUUGAACUUUGAUGGCUGCAGCCAGUAAAUUUGAAACGAAUUCUCUGUGCUCCACGCUCGUAUUCUUUGUUAUUGGGAGAGUAGAAGAUGAUGCUCUUGAGUAUCAUUCAGAGUCAACGACUAAUGACUAUUGCAGUCCUGUGUUAAGUCUAAGUAAAUAAGAGAGAAAGAGAUUGCAUACUAAAUCAGCUUUAACUAACUCUGAGUCUCUGUCUGUGUGUGUCUUAACAUAUUGUAUUUAGGAUUUGAACAGAGUGGAGCCUUCUUGGCCUAUUACUAUCCUCACAAACAGAUUAUUGAAUAGGUGUGGUUUUAUAUGGCAGGUAUUCUUCACUGGUGUUUCACAAAUUUUCUGAGGGUAAAGACAUGUUUAUCCAAAUUGUGUUCAUGAAGACAGACCUUAGUCUCUCUGUAAUAGUUACUGACGUUCUAAGAUCUUAGAUUUCUUAUCUAAGAUCCAACCAAGAGUGAAACACUGCCUUGGGAAACUAUUUUAUAUUAGCUGCAAGUGAUAUUGAGUAGUCAGCAUUUCAAUAAUCAAAGAUCACAAUGCUGAAUUCAUGGCAGGUGUAGGAGAUCUAGUUAGAAAUUUACACAAAAACAGGCUUUUUUCCCUUCGUGUAGUUUUUUCUCAUUUCAUGUUUUCUUUUAACAAAGUUUCUUAAUUUUGCCUUUUUUCCUGUCUCUUGGCUUUAGUAGAAUGUAGUUUUUUCACUUUACAAGUUUCAUUUUGCUAGCAUAGAUUCAUGAUUCAUCCUUUGAUUACUUAAAUUCAUAGUAUUUUUUAGAAAACUGCAACCCCCCCCCCCCCCCCAAAAUAUUUUAUUAUUUCAUUUGGGAUCACAGCAAAAUCAGUCGACAGUAGCUGCUUCUCAAAUCUCAACCAAAUCCGUUCUGAGAUCGAAAGGAAGCUUUGACUAUCGUCUUUGAUGGCGAAGGAGCAAAUCUUGAGGCCUUGGUUUCUGGAUCUCGUACCGGCUUUGGUUAUUUUGCUCGCCGCAGCUCAUGUCAUGGCCUUGGUACUUUCUCGUGAUCUUUUCUAUCUCUCUUCUGUACGCUCUAUUCUCUAAUCGUUGAUUCGCUUUGGUGCUUCGUAGGGUUACUGGAUUUACAGAUUGGCGACUGAUCGUCGGGCUCAGAGUCAGAGAGGAAAGUUUCACUGAGGAAAAGAGUAGGUUUCGUAAGCUGCAUAGUUCCCAUAAACUGGCGGGUUUUGGCUUCCGAUCUGAUGUUUGUGAUCGUUGUUGAUUUUGUAGCUUAUGAUGUCGUUAGGUGGAUCAUAUCUGUUUACUAGUUUGUUUUCACCUAUGUUUGUAGCUUCUUUCGACUUUUUAUGCAAUUUGCUGUUUUGAGUUGUUCUAAAUAGAUUUAGUAACACUUUCUCAUUGUUUUGUUUCAUUACACCGUUGAACUUUGAUGGCUGCAGCCAGUAAAUUUGAAACGAAUUCUCUGUGCUCCACGCUCGUAUUCUUUGUUAUUGGGAGAGUAGAAGAUGAUGCUCUUGAGUAUCAUUCAGAGUCAACGACUAAUGACUAUUGCAGUCCUGUGUUAAGUCUAAGUAAAUAAGAGAGAAAGAGAUUGCAUACUAAAUCAGCUUUAACUAACUCUGAGUCUCUGUCUGUGUGUGUCUUAACAUAUUGUAUUUAGGAUUUGAACAGAGUGGAGCCUUCUUGGCCUAUUACUAUCCUCACAAACAGAUUAUUGAAUAGGUGUGGUUUUAUAUGGCAGGUAUUCUUCACUGGUGUUUCACAAAUUUUCUGAGGGUAAAGACAUGUUUAUCCAAAUUGUGUUCAUGAAGACAGACCUUAGUCUCUCUGUAAUAGUUACUGACGUUCUAAGAUCUUAGAUUUCUUAUCUAAGAUCCAACCAAGAGUGAAACACUGCCUUGGGAAACUAUUUUAUAUUAGCUGCAAGUGAUAUUGAGUAGUCAGCAUUUCAAUAAUCAAAGAUCACAAUGCUGAAUUCAUGGCAGGUGUAGGAGAUCUAGUUAGAAAUUUACACAAAAACAGGCUUUUUUCCCUUCGUGUAGUUUUUUCUCAUUUCAUGUUUUCUUUUAACAAAGUUUCUUAAUUUUGCCUUUUUUCCUGUCUCUUGGCUUUAGUAGAAUGUAGUUUUUUCACUUUACAAGUUUCAUUUUGCUAGCAUAGAUUCAUGAUUCAUCCUUUGAUUACUUAAAUUCAUAGUAUUUUUUAGAAAACUGCAACCCCCCCCCCCCCCCCAAAAUAUUUUAUUAUUUCNNNNNNNNNNNNNNNNNNNNNNNNNNNNNNNNNNNNNNNNNNNNNNNNNNNNNNNNNNNNNNNNNNNNNNNNUCCUGCUGCGUCCAGUGCGUGUAUGUGUUAAUGGUCGGUGGAGAUACCCUUUUGUUCUCGUAUCCAAGUUUUCCACUUGCUUGUUACAGUUGUUACCAAACCAAUAUUUAUCCAUUUAACGCUUUCUUUACGCGGAACGUUGUUGGUACCUUCGGAGGCAACUUUUGUGAUGAAAAGCAACCAAAAGUAGAGGGAGCAAGAUUAUACUAUAAUAAUGCAAAAUAUUUAAUUGAUUUACCAGCUACGAAUGCUAUUUUCACCAACUAAUUUAGCUUUUAUUCCCUUUUCGUGUAUGUUUAUUAGAUAUAUAAACAAGUUACAUAAUAAUUAGUCGACAAAAAGUUGUCCGUGCCUGCUGCCAGGUGCAAUAAUUAUGCGAUUAGUUGGUUUGACAUGUGCUCGCACCAUUAAUUCCAAUUGCAUGCUAUUAUUUACCAAUCAAAAACAAGAGAACAUGACACUGAUAAAACAAACUAAAAUAAAAUAUUCAGAAGAAGAAACUAAUCUCUAAUUAACUGGAUUUUCAAGUUAUCAUGAGUCAAAAAUACAGCAUAUAAAUAAUAUAUAUCAUAUGUUUAUUAGCCAUUAAUUGAGAAAAACACAUAAAAUACAGAUAAGCCAAGGACACUAUUGGAAUUAUCUUAUAAAACUCCAAAGCCAUUUCAAGCCCCUUUUAUUUUGUCACACCACACAAGUCGCCCUUUGGUAGAGAGAGAGAGAGAGAGAGAGGCCAACGACCACAGAUAACAAACCCAUACCGUAACACCAUGAGCCCUUCCAAGCAGCGACAUCAUCGCAGCUCCACCGGCGAUACCAAGUCAAAACCGUUAAGAUCCGCCUCCUCCUCCGCUACACCGGAAUGGAUCGCAGAAGCAAUCAACGGCGGCUCCCUCCGCCGCGUAGAUCCCGAAACAGGCACCGACGGAUGGGCUUCGCCUCCCGGCGACGUCUUCUCUCUCCGCUCCGACUCCUACUUAACUAAAAAACAAAAAUCCCCCGCCGGAGAUUACCUCCUCUCCCCCGCCGGCAUGGACUGGCUCAAAUCGACCUCGAAACUAGACAAUGUCCUCGCGCGUCCCGAUAACCGCGUGGCUCACGCGCUAAGAAAAGCUCAAUCACGAGGCCAAUCUCUCAAGUCCUUCAUCUUCGCCGUGAACCUCCAGAUCCCGGGGAAAGACCACCACAGCGCGGUGUUCUACUUCGCCGCGGAGGAGCCGAUCCCCUCAGGAUCACUCCUCCACCGGUUUAUAAACGGCGACGACUCGUUCCGGAACCAGAGGUUCAAGAUCGUGAACCGGAUCGUGAAAGGGCCAUGGGUGGUUAAAGCCGCCGUCGGGAACUACGGCGCGUGCCUCCUCGGGAAGGCGCUGACGUGCAAUUACCACAGAGGCGAUAACUACUUCGAGAUCGACGUCGAUAUAUGCAGCUCGGCGAUCGCGACGGCGAUUCUGCGGCUGGCGCUGGGGUACGUGACGAGCGUGACGAUCGACAUGGGGUUCCUGGCGGAAGCGCAGACGGAGGAGGAGCUGCCGGAGAGGUUGAUCGGAGCUGUGAGGGUUUGUCAGAUGGAAAUGUCGUCGGCGUUUGUGGUCGACGCGCCGCCGCCUCAGCAACUGGCGUUGCAGCCGUGUAGAACGCUGAGUUUGGCGAAAGUUAACCACGACUUUGUUUUCACCUAUGUUUGUAGCUUCUUUCGACUUUUUAUGCAAUUUGCUGUUUUGAGUUGUUCUAAAUAGAUUUAGUAACACUUUCUCAUUGUUUUGUUUCAUUACACCGUUGAACUUUGAUGGCUGCAGCCAGUAAAUUUGAAACGAAUUCUCUGUGCUCCACGCUCGUAUUCUUUGUUAUUGGGAGAGUAGAAGAUGAUGCUCUUGAGUAUCAUUCAGAGUCAACGACUAAUGACUAUUGCAGUCCUGUGUUAAGUCUAAGUAAAUAAGAGAGAAAGAGAUUGCAUACUAAAUCAGCUUUAACUAACUCUGAGUCUCUGUCUGUGUGUGUCUUAACAUAUUGUAUUUAGGAUUUGAACAGAGUGGAGCCUUCUUGGC